UACGUAGGGUGCAAGCGUUGUCCGGAAUUAUUGGGCGUAAAGAGCUCGUAGGCGGUCUGUCGCGUCUGCUGUGAAAACUCAGGGCUUAACCCUGAGCUUGCAGUGGGUACGGGCAGACUAGAGUGCGGUAGGGGAGACUGGAAUUCCUGGUGUAGCGGUGAAAUGCGCAGAUAUCAGGAGGGAACACCGGUGGGCCGAAGGCGGGUCUCUGGGCCGUAACUGACG
Molecule: ribosomal RNA, 225 nt
Filed under: uncultured bacterium
Lineage: Bacteria
Description: partial 16S ribosomal RNA
Rfam family: Bacterial small subunit ribosomal RNA
Source: RNAcentral